RNAcentral lists this ribosomal RNA (440 nucleotides) under uncultured bacterium. Its description in RNAcentral is "partial 16S ribosomal RNA". It matches the Rfam family "Bacterial small subunit ribosomal RNA", at positions 338 to 795 of the family's 1533-position model. The record is from RNAcentral.
CCUACGGGAGGCAGCAGUGGGGGAUAUUGCACAAUGGGGGGAACCCUGAAGCAGCGACGCAGCGUGGGGGAAGAAGGGCCUCGGCGCGUAAAGCCCUGUCAGCAGGGAAGAAAAUGACGGUACGUGAAGAAGAAGCCCCGGCUAACUAGGUGCCAGCAGCCGCGGUAAUACGUAGGGGGCAUGCGUUAUCCGGAUUUACUGGGUGUAAAGGGGGCGAAGACGGCGAUGCCAGCCAGGAGUGAAAGCCCGGGGCCCAACCCCGUGACUGCUCUUGGAACUGCGUGGCUGGAGUGCAGGAGGGGCAGGCGGCAUUCCUGGUGUAGCGGUGAACUGCUUAGAUAUCACGAGGAACCCCGGUUGCGAAGGCGGCCUGCUGGACUGCAACUGACGUUGAGGCCCGAAAGCGUGGGGAGCAAACAGGAUUAGAUACCCCAGUAGUC